RNAcentral lists this ribosomal RNA (485 nucleotides) under Limnogonus fossarum fossarum. Its description in RNAcentral is "16S ribosomal RNA". Lineage: Eukaryota; Metazoa; Arthropoda; Insecta; Hemiptera; Gerridae. The record is from RNAcentral.
UGGUCGAACAGACCAAGAAAAUGAAAUUCUACACCCAAAUCUGAUCUUAAUUCAACAUCGAGGUCGCAAACUUGAUUCAUCGAUAUGAACUCUCCGAAAAAAUUACGCUGUUAUCCCUAAGGUAAGUUAAACUUAUAAUCAAUAAAUAUUGGAUCAAAAAAACAUAAAUUUAUGAAAAAAGAAAAUUAAAAGUUAAAUAAAUUUUAAUGUCACCCCAACAAAACUAUACAAUCUAAAAAAAUAUUUUAAUAACAAAAAACAAAGAAUUAUUAAUAUAGUAAACUUCUAUAGGGUCUUCUCGUCCUAUAAAAAAAUUUUAGCUUUUUAACUAAAAAAUUAAAUUAAUAUAAAUUAAAAAAAGAAAGACUAUUUCUCAUCAAACCAUUCAUUCUAGCCUCCAAUUAAAAGACAAAUGAUUAUGCUACCUUCGUACAGUUAAAAUACCGCAGCCUUUUAAUCUUUCAAAUCAAUGGGCAGGCCUGAUC